RNAcentral lists this ribosomal RNA (1884 nucleotides) under Triticum aestivum (bread wheat). RNAcentral describes it as "partial small subunit ribosomal RNA". Lineage: Eukaryota; Viridiplantae; Streptophyta; Magnoliopsida; Poales; Poaceae. The record is from RNAcentral.
CGUCUGGGUUGCUGGCAGCAUUUCGUGGUUUGGUUUGGUUUGGUAAAGCGUUAGAGCGUUCGCUGCGUCGGCGGAGGUGGUGGUCCUUAGUCUGGCGCGUGCGGAGGAAUCGAGCUCGGGUCUGGCCUCGGGACAAGGCGGCACCUAGCGACCUCCUCUCCCGGUGGCCGGCCUAGGGCUGCCCGGUCUACCACCCGCUGGGGGCGCCGCCCCCGCUCAUCGUGCCGACGCUAGCCGCCGCCUGCCUAGCCGCCGCGGCGUUCCGCCGCCCCCGGUGGUACAGACGGCAUCACACGCCGUUCUCCAGGAGGUAGAAGCGGCUGCUCGAGUAGGGGAGGAGAGGCGGAAGGGGAGGGGUGGUGGUGGGAAGGUUCGCCAGGGCGACGAGGGGCUGGGCGCGGAAGCUGCUGCGGCGGCGCCGGGUGGCCGCCCUCCGCGACGAGGUGGUGGAAGCGAGGGAGAAGGGAGUGUACCUAGGGGUCAACGAACUUUCUCGAGAACUUCGUAGACCUCUACUAAACCUAAAACGUUAUUCCUCAAACUUACUGGACGCGGACCUCAGUCGACUCCGAUAGAAAAGUCGACGUAAAUCACUUGGACUCUUACCGGACAGUUGUCGGGAAUUCAAUAGCCGACUUCCAUACGACUAACUUAAAUGUAGUCUUCCAUUACCGGUUAACCUACGAUAAUCACCUUUAGGUGGACGCUGUCUAUUAACAGUCUGUUUAGUGGUAUCGAGACUUACCCAACUCGAUAAACAAUCUCUCUACUACUCACGGAGACUGUAUUUACUACGUGCCCGAGCACGUAGUUCUCGAAACCUCCAAUAACUCUUCAGGUAGUACCUCGCCUGUCCUCGGCUCCGUCACGUUUUGAACGUGUUCCUUUUAUUCUACGAUUUCCUCGUUAAUCGUUAUCGAGAAGCUCUCUUACGACAAGACUUCGCCCCCCAACGUUAGGUUGUGCUCGCGGUUUUUCUCAAACUACUAUUCUGUGUCCUCCAAGUGUUGGAUUUCGUUAACUAAAACGUCAUAGUCCUUGUUGAUUUCUGAGAGCUCUAGUUAUUAAUACGUGAAUCCCACGUAGAUGUCGUCCGAGUCGUCUUGUCAAGUUACGGGCCCGCAAAGGUGGGACUACAAACGACUAUUCGAAAGGUAGGACUACAGACGAUUAUGCGUGUAGCUCCUCCUAUAGGGAGAGUGUGAUCUUAAGACGGGUCGGGGUUCGAGUAUACAAAUGCAUACGUAGUGUAAUGGUAUUUCUGGACGGUAGACUCUUUACAUUUGUCGCUUCACAGCUAUAACAUUAUUUCCUAGGACACGAGGUCCUUUCCAGUCUUCUUUAUUAUACAACUCCACCUACCACGACGCCACGGAUAACCAAUUACGUAGUGAGACAUUGUCAUAAAACACACACUGGAGUUCCCACUCGUAUCACAUAACGAUGGUCUGAAUUUUAUUUAUCUGGACACAACUAGUAAGCAGGUACUGAAAGCCGAGAUACCAACUUCGAAAAAAAUAGCGGCCUACUUCGAAAAAAGUAGCGCUAUACUUCGAAAAAACCAGUGACCAACGUUGAAAGGCCGGCCGCCCCCGCUCCCUCUCCACUCCCCUACCCGUCGUGUCUACUCGUCGCCUCGACGUUGGCUGCUCGUCGCCUCGACGUUGGUCGUCGAGUUUUCCGCUGCCCGCUGCCGCCGCUGGCCACUGCCGCUCCGUUAAGCCGUCCUCCGUUGGACGAAGCUCCAACCAGCAAACGAGCAAGUACCGCUCGCGGCCGCCGCGGCGACGAAACAAAGGGCGACCAGAGCAAUCUAAACCAAAACUUUUUUUUUUGUCUUUGUUUUUUUUGUCUUUGGGGUUAGAUUGCCGUUGUGAACAGCGC